GCUGGCGGCGUGCCUAAUACAUGCAAGUCGAGCGAGCUGAAUUCAAAGAUCCCUUCGGGAUGAUUUGUUGGACGCUAGCGGCGGAUGGGUGAGUAACACGUGGGCAAUCUGCCCUAAAGACUGGGAUACCACUUGGAAACAGGUGCUAAUACCGGAUAACAACAUGAAUCGCAUGAUUCAAGUUUGAAAGGCGGCGUAAGCUGUCACUUUAGGAUGAGCCCGCGGCGCAUUAGCUAGUUGGUGGGGUAAAGGCCUACCAAGGCAAUGAUGCGUAGCCGAGUUGAGAGACUGAUCGGCCACAUUGGGACUGAGACACGGCCCAAACUCCUACGGGAGGCAGCAGUAGGGAAUCUUCCACAAUGGACGCAAGUCUGAUGGAGCAACGCCGCGUGAGUGAAGAAGGUUUUCGGAUCGUAAAGCUCUGUUGUUGGUGAAGAAGGAUAGAGGCAGUAACUGGUCUUUAUUUGACGGUAAUCAACCAGAAAGUCACGGCUAACUACGUGCCAGCAGCCGCGGUAAUACGUAGGUGGCAAGCGUUGUCCGGAUUUAUUGGGCGUAAAGCGAGCGCAGGCGGAAUGAUAAGUCUGAUGUGAAAGCCCACGGCUCAACCGUGGAACUGCAUCGGAAACUGUCAUUCUUGAGUGCAGAAGAGGAGAGUGGAAUUCCAUGUGUAGCGGUGGAAUGCGUAGAUAUAUGGAAGAACACCAGUGGCGAAGGCGGCUCUCUGGUCUGCAACUGACGCUGAGGCUCGAAAGCAUGGGUAGCGAACAGGAUUAGAUACCCUGGUAGUCCAUGCCGUAAACGAUGAGCGCU
RNAcentral lists this ribosomal RNA (813 nucleotides) under Lactobacillus delbrueckii subsp. bulgaricus. RNAcentral describes it as "bacterial SSU rRNA". It matches the Rfam family "Bacterial small subunit ribosomal RNA", at positions 35 to 817 of the family's 1533-position model. Lineage: Bacteria; Bacillati; Bacillota; Bacilli; Lactobacillales; Lactobacillaceae. The record is from RNAcentral.